Molecule: long non-coding RNA, 837 nt
Organism: Syngnathus acus (greater pipefish)
Lineage: Eukaryota; Metazoa; Chordata; Actinopteri; Syngnathiformes; Syngnathidae
Exons: 4
Source: RefSeq, a predicted model, not a curated record
UUAUCUUCUGAUGUCAUUAAAAUGUGCACCUAACUUUGUUUUGCGCUAAACAGGGCUUGGAACUCUAAGGCAAAUCACUUCAAAAGUUAAAAUUGUGUUGUGUCAUGUGAUUAACAGCGGUUAAUGGGUGACUUGUCAAAUCAGACAACUUCUUUUUCCCUUUCCCUCUUUUUCAGAUUCCAAGCCUGGAGAAAAGAGGAGCACCUGUAUUAAAAACUGACCGGACUCCACAAGCUAGGAAGUGAGUGUGAAACACCCAUGACAGGGAAAAAGUUUCUGAAGGUCAUCGUGGAGCCCCUUCUGGCAAUCCCUGGGCUGAGGAGCCUCAACUCUCAUUCAGAAUGUGACGCGGAGAGUGGACGGUGCCCAUGACUGAUCUGGAGACCUUUGACAUGAUGUCCCAGGAAAUAAAUGACAAACAGGAUGCAAGACUGAAUGACAGAAUGAUUAAGCUUGGAAUUGGUUGGUCAAAAUUUUAGAUGUCCCUCCUCACUCUUGAUAUCUUACAAAUGGAACCUAUAGGUUCUGUUUGGUUUAAUUGCUGUACUGUCAAAGUUACUGACUUUUCAGUUAUUUUUGGCUUGAUUUACAAGAAAAAAAUUCAAUUCAAUUUUGUCUACUCUUAAUUCCACUUUUCUGAGACACUGUUCAUAAUUCCUUGUAUACAGAUUGCAAAGCAGUCUUGUGUUAGGAGGCCGCUGAUUUGAAGACCUGCAUGUUUCUAAGACCAUGGACAGACUCUACACAAAUGACAAUGACAACGUUCAAUAUGCGUGCUUGUGUGACUCGUGCAGAGGGCCCUCAGGAAGACUGCUCUGAUAGCACUGGUAAAUAAAA